UACGUAGGGGGCAAGCGUUGUCCGGAUUUAUUGGGCGUAAAGAGCGUGUAGGCGGCCAGACAAGUCUGCUGUGAAAACUCGAGGCUCAACCUCGAGCUGUCGGUGGAAACUGUCUGGCUAGAGUCCGGAAGAGGAGAGUGGAAUUCCUGGUGUAGCGGUGAAAUGCGUAGAUAUCGGGAGGAACACCAGUGGCGAAGGCGACUACCUGGCCUGUUCUUGACGCUGAGGCGCGAAAGCUAGGGGAGCAAACGGG
This 253-nucleotide ribosomal RNA is filed under the name uncultured bacterium. RNAcentral describes it as "partial 16S ribosomal RNA". It matches the Rfam family "Bacterial small subunit ribosomal RNA", at positions 524 to 776 of the family's 1533-position model. The record is from RNAcentral.